Molecule: ribosomal RNA, 253 nt
Filed under: uncultured bacterium
Lineage: Bacteria
Description: partial 16S ribosomal RNA
Rfam family: Bacterial small subunit ribosomal RNA
Source: RNAcentral
UACAGAGAGUGCAAGCGUUAAUCGGAAUUACUGGGCGUAAAGCGCACGUAGGUGGAUAUUUAAGUCGGAUGUGAAAGCCCUGGGCUUAACCUGGGAAUUGCACCCGAUACUGGGUAUCUAGAGUAUGGUAGAGGAUAGUGGAAUUUCCGGUGUAGCGGUGAAAUGCGUAGAUAUCGGAAAGAACACCAGUGGCGAAGGCGGCUAUCUGGACCAAUACUGACACUGAGGUGCGAAAGCGUGGGGAGCAAACAGG